GACGAACGCUGGCGGCGUGCUUAACACAUGCAAGUCGAACGAGAAGAGAUGAGAAGCUUGCUUCUUAUUGAUUCGAGUGGCAAACGGGUGAGUAACGCGUAAGCAACCUGCCCUUCAGAUGGGGACAACAGCUGGAAACGGCUGCUAAUACCGAAUACGUUCUCUUUAUCGCAUGGCAGAGGGAAGAAAGGGAGGCUCUUCGGAGCUUUCGCUGAAGGAGGGGCUUGCGUCUGAUUAGCUAGUUGGAGGGGUAACGGCCCGACCAAGGCGACGAUCAGUAGCCGGUCUGAGAGGAUGAACGGCACAUUGGGACUGAGACACGGCCCAGACUCCUACGGAGGCAGCAGUGGGAAUCUUCCGCAAUGGACGAAAGUCUGACGGAGCAA
RNAcentral lists this ribosomal RNA (386 nucleotides) under uncultured bacterium. Its description in RNAcentral is "bacterial SSU rRNA". It matches the Rfam family "Bacterial small subunit ribosomal RNA", at positions 28 to 394 of the family's 1533-position model. The record is from RNAcentral.